CCGGUGCCUCAGGUGUUGGAUCGACGGUCAGUGGUGGUGUGGGUGUCCGUGGGCAUGCGCGGUCUGGUCGAUGGAGUCGACGCGGCUCUUGAGCGCCGCGAGCUGGCCCCUGACGCUGAGGUCGAUGACGUGCGAGUCGUCGGUGCCGUAGCAGACGACGAAGCCGGCGAUGAGGGACGCGUCCACGGCGGUCUCUACCUUGAGGUCGACAAAGCCGGUGAGGCGGCGCAUCUUGCGCGCGAUGCGCUCGGCCUGGCGCGCGUCCAGCUCCACGGCGGAGGUCACCAGCACCCGGAGCGCGACCAUCUGCGGCGGCGGCGGGGCGCUGGCCUCGCCGUCCGGGACGGCGGGGGCCAUGCUGCAGUUCCGGUCCAGGAGCGACCGCAGGAAGUCGAGCGUGAGCGGCUUGAACGGGGCCGCGACUGGGACUGGGACUGGGACUGGGACGGACGCGGUGGUCCCGUCGAUGUGCUCGACGCCGACGUAGCUGCUGUCCCGGCGCAGCGUCUGCGCCUGCCACCGAGGGCAGUGCGCAUGGGACCGCCCCGCGGCCGCCGUGGUGCUCGGCUGCGCCGGCACGAGAUGGCCGCCUGGGCUGAUGGGCUGGUUCAAGAUCUUCAUCGCUACCCUGCACGUGAACAAUAAUAGUUCAAAAUCUAUAGCAGCAAGCACAAAGAAGAGGAACAUGUAUGGGACUGAGCAAGGACUCGAACAAUGAAACGCGGUGGUUCUUGCCUCAGCACUCAGCAGCACAAGCAGCUGGUGAUCGGAGGGAACGGCAGGGAAGCUGAGGCGAGGGUGGGGAGAAGCAGAAGACUGCGCGGCGCAGCAGUGUGGGGAAGGGUAAUAGCUGCCAGAGUGCCAGCGGGGGGGAUAAGAUAGCUGCUGCUGCGUAGCGUCGCUAGCUUGGUGUCGAGGAGGGGAAGAGGACGGGAGAGUUUGGCGUGCACACGAUGCGGCCCCGGCAGCCGCACACGCCCCAUCCGGGGAAAUCUGCAUCUGCGUGCCGCACACGCCCCAGUCCCCGCCCCGUGUGGUCACCACCGGUCAUUCCAUCAC
Molecule: unclassified non-coding RNA, 1059 nt
Filed under: Zea mays
Lineage: Eukaryota; Viridiplantae; Streptophyta; Magnoliopsida; Poales; Poaceae
Description: misc RNA Zm00001eb215360
Source: RNAcentral